Molecule: signal recognition particle RNA, 97 nt
Filed under: Candidatus Nanopelagicales bacterium
Lineage: Bacteria; Bacillati; Actinomycetota; Actinomycetes; Candidatus Nanopelagicales
Description: signal recognition particle sRNA small type
Rfam family: Bacterial small signal recognition particle RNA
About the family: The signal recognition particle (SRP) is a universally conserved ribonucleoprotein involved in the co-translational targeting of proteins to membranes. Archaeal SRP consists of a 7S RNA and homologues of the eukaryotic SRP19 and SRP54 proteins.
Source: RNAcentral
ACUGACCCCUCGUGCGGCGCAAUCUCGCCCAACUCCCCCAGGGCCGGAAGGCAGCAAGGGUAAGCGAGCUCUAGCGGGUGCGCGGGGGGUCCCUACA